Molecule: ribosomal RNA, 465 nt
Filed under: uncultured bacterium
Lineage: Bacteria
Description: partial 16S ribosomal RNA
Rfam family: Bacterial small subunit ribosomal RNA
Source: RNAcentral
GACGAACGCUGGCGGCGUGCUUAACACAUGCCAGUCGUACGGUAAGGCCCUUUCUGGGGUACACGAGUGGCGAACGGGUGAGUAACACGUGUGUAACCUGCCCACAACUUUUGGAUAACGCUAGGAAACUAGUGCUAAUACUUGGUAUUUGCUCCUGCUGCAUGGUGGGGGUUGUAAAGCUCCGGGGGUUGGGGAUGGACUCGCGGCCUAUCAGCUUGUUGGUGGGGUAGUGGCCUACCAAGGCGGCGACGGGUAGCCGGCCUGAGAGGGUGACCGGCCACAUUGGGACUGAGAUACGGCCCAGACUCCUACGGGAGGCAGCAGUGGGGAAUAGUGCACAAUGGGCGGAAGCCUGAUGCAGCAACGCCGCGUGCGGGAUGACGGCCCUCGGGUUGUAAACCGGUUUCAGCAGGGACGAAGCUUUUUGUGACGGUACCUGCAGAAGAAGCACCGGCUAACUACGUG